This 964-nucleotide ribosomal RNA is filed under the name human gut metagenome. Its description in RNAcentral is "bacterial SSU rRNA". It matches the Rfam family "Bacterial small subunit ribosomal RNA", at positions 8 to 964 of the family's 1533-position model. The record is from RNAcentral.
AGAGUUUGAUCAUGGCUCAGAUUGAACGCUGGCGGCAGGCCUAACACAUGCAAGUCGAGCGGUAGCACAGAGAGCUUGCUCUCGGGUGACGAGCGGCGGACGGGUGAGUAAUGUCUGGGAAACUGCCUGAUGGAGGGGGAUAACUACUGGAAACGGUAGCUAAUACCGCAUAACGUCGUAAGACCAAAGUGGGGGACCUUCGGGCCUCAUGCCAUCAGAUGUGCCCAGAUGGGAUUAGCUAGUAGGUGGGGUAACGGCUCACCUAGGCGACGAUCCCUAGCUGGUCUGAGAGGAUGACCAGCCACACUGGAACUGAGACACGGUCCAGACUCCUACGGGAGGCAGCAGUGGGGAAUAUUGCACAAUGGGCGCAAGCCUGAUGCAGCCAUGCCGCGUGUGUGAAGAAGGCCUUCGGGUUGUAAAGCACUUUCAGCGGGGAGGAAGGCGGUGAGGUUAAUAACCUCAUCGAUUGACGUUACCCGCAGAAGAAGCACCGGCUAACUCCGUGCCAGCAGCCGCGGUAAUACGGAGGGUGCAAGCGUUAAUCGGAAUUACUGGGCGUAAAGCGCACGCAGGCGGUCUGUCAAGUCGGAUGUGAAAUCCCCGGGCUCAACCUGGGAACUGCAUUCGAAACUGGCAGGCUAGAGUCUUGUAGAGGGGGGUAGAAUUCCAGGUGUAGCGGUGAAAUGCGUAGAGAUCUGGAGGAAUACCGGUGGCGAAGGCGGCCCCCUGGGACAAGACUGACGCUCAGGUGCGAAAGCGUGGGGAGCAAACAGGAUAGAUACCCUGGAAGCCCACCCCGUAACGAUGUCCAUUUGGAGGGUGUGCCCCUGAGGCGUGGCUCUCCGAACUUACCCGUUAAAUCCACCGCCUGGGGAAUCACGCCCCAAGGUUAAAACUCCAAUGAAUUGCGGGGGGCCCCCCCAACCGGGGGAACAUGGGGGUUAAAUCUAAGGCACCGCGA